Molecule: ribosomal RNA, 473 nt
Filed under: Arthrobacter globiformis
Lineage: Bacteria; Bacillati; Actinomycetota; Actinomycetes; Micrococcales; Micrococcaceae
Description: bacterial SSU rRNA
Rfam family: Bacterial small subunit ribosomal RNA
Source: RNAcentral
CAGUCGUACGAUGAAACCGUGCUUGCACCGGUGAUUAGUGGCGAACGGGUGAGUAACACGUGAGUAACCUGCCCUUGACUCUGGGAUAAGCCUGGGAAACUGGGUCUAAUACCGGAUAUGACCUUCCAUCGCAUGGUGGUUGGUGGAAAGCUUUUGUGGUUUUGGAUGGACUCGCGGCCUAUCAGCUUGUUGGUGAGGUAAUGGCUUACCAAGGCGACGACGGGUAGCCGGCCUGAGAGGGUGACCGGCCACACUGGGACUGAGACACGGCCCAGACUCCUACGGGAGGCAGCAGUGGGGAAUAUUGCACAAUGGGCGCAAGCCUGAUGCAGCGACGCCGCGUGAGGGAUGACGGCCUUCGGGUUGUAACCCUCUUUCAGUAGGAAAAGCAAAGUGACGGACCUGCAGAAGAACGCCGGCUAACUACUGCCGCAGCCGCGGUAUACUAGGCGCAGCGUAUCCGGAAUUAUUGG